RNAcentral lists this unclassified non-coding RNA (358 nucleotides) under soil metagenome. Its description in RNAcentral is "partial contains 5.8S ribosomal RNA, internal transcribed spacer 2, and large subunit ribosomal RNA". The stretch from base 1 to 120 matches the Rfam family "5.8S ribosomal RNA", at positions 35 to 154 of the family's 154-position model. The record is from RNAcentral.
GAUGAAGAACGCAGCGAAAUGCGAUAAGUAAUGUGAAUUGCAGAAUUCAGUGAAUCAUCGAAUCUUUGAACGCACAUUGCGCCCGUCAGUAUUCUGGCGGGCAUGCCUGUUCGAGCGUCAUUACGCCCCUCAAGUCCCCUGUGGACUUGGUGUUGGGGAUCGGCGAGGCUGGUUUUCCAGCACAGCCGUCCCUUAAAUUAAUUGGCGGUCUCGCCGUGGCCCUCCUCUGCGCAGUAGUAAAACACUCGCAACAGGAGCCCGGCGCGGUCCACUGCCGUAAAACCCCCCAACUUUUUAUAGUUGACCUCGAAUCAGGUAGGACUAUCCGCUGAACUUAAGCAUAUCAAUAAGCGGAGGA